UACGUAGGGGGCAAGCGUUGUCCGGAAUCAUUGGGCGUAAAGAGCGCGUAGGCGGCCCGAUAAGUCCGCUGUGAAAGUCAAGGGCUCAACCCUUGAAUGCCGGUGGAUACUGUCGGGCUAGAGUCCGGAAGAGGCGAGUGGAAUUCCUGGUGUAGCGGUGAAAUGCGCAGAUAUCAGGAGGAACACCAAUGGCGAAGGCAGCUCGCUGGGACGGUACUGACGCUGAGACGCGAAAGCGUGGGGAGCAAACAGG
This 253-nucleotide ribosomal RNA is filed under the name uncultured bacterium. RNAcentral's name for it is "partial 16S ribosomal RNA". It matches the Rfam family "Bacterial small subunit ribosomal RNA", at positions 524 to 776 of the family's 1533-position model. The record is from RNAcentral.